Molecule: non-coding RNA, 148 nt
Filed under: Nomascus leucogenys (northern white-cheeked gibbon)
Lineage: Eukaryota; Metazoa; Chordata; Mammalia; Primates; Hylobatidae
Source: Rfam by way of RNAcentral
GCUGGGCAUGGUGGUGCAUGCCUAUAAUCCCAGCUACUUGGGAGGCUGAGGCAGGAGAAUUGCUUGAGCCUGGGAGGUGGAGGUUGCAGUGAGCUGAAAUUGCGCCACUGAACUCCAGCCUGGGUAACAGAGCGAGACCCAGUCUCAA